This 839-nucleotide ribosomal RNA is filed under the name uncultured bacterium. RNAcentral describes it as "bacterial SSU rRNA". It matches the Rfam family "Bacterial small subunit ribosomal RNA", at positions 31 to 916 of the family's 1533-position model. The record is from RNAcentral.
AAAAGCUGGUGGAGGCCUAACACAUGCAGUCGAGCGCGCCCUCCGGGGUGAGCGGCGGACGGGUUAGUAACGCGUGGGAAUAUGCCCAGAUCUACGGAAUAGCCUUUGGAAACGAAGAGUAAUACCGUAUACGCCCUUCGGGGGAAAGAUUUAUCGGAUUUGGAUUAGCCCGCGUUAGAUUAGGUAGUUGGUGGGGUAAUGGCCUACCAAGCCUACGAUCUAUAGCUGGUUUUAGAGGAUGAUCAGCAACACUGGGACUGAGACACGGCCCAGACUCCUACGGGAGGCAGCAGUGGGGAAUCUUGGACAAUGGGCGCAAGCCUGAUCCAGCCAUGCCGCGUGAGUGACGAAGGCCUUAGGGUCGUAAAGCUCUUUCGUCAGGGAUGAUAAUGACAGUACCUGGUAAAGAAACCCCGGCUAACUCCGUGCCAGCAGCCGCGGUAAUACGGAGGGGGUUAGCGUUGUUCGGAAUUACUGGGCGUAAAGCGCACGUAGGCGGAUUGGAAAGUUAGAGGUGAAAUCCCGGGGCUCAACCCCGGAACUGCCUUUAAAACUCCCAGUCUAGAGUUCGAGAGAGGUGAGUGGAAUUCCGAGUGUAGAGGUGAAAUUCGUAGAUAUUCGGAGGAACACCAGUGGCGAAGGCGGCUCACUGUCUCGAUACUGACGCUGAGGUGCGAAAGUGUGGGGGGCAGACAGGAUUAGAUACCCUGUAGGUCCACACCGUAGACGAUGAGUGCCAGUCGUCGGGUAGCAUGCUAUUCGGUGGCCCCACCUAACAGAUUAAGCAUUCAGCUUGGGGGAGUACGGUCGCAAGAUUAUAACUCAGAUGGACUUGACGG